CAUUCACGGAGAGUUUGAUCCUGGCUCAGGACGAACGCUGGCGGCGUGCUUAACACAUGCAAGUCGAACGGAUGAACCACUUCGGUGGGGAUUAGUGGCGAACGGGUGAGUAACACGUGGGCAAUCUGCCCUUCACUCUGGUGACAAGCCCUGGAAACGGGGUCUAAUACCGGAUAACACUUCCAUCCUCCUGGGUGGAGGUUAAAAGCUCCGGGCGGUGAAGGAUGAGCCCGCGGCCUAUCAGCUUGUUGGUGAGGUAAUGGCUCACCAAGGCGACGACGGGUUAGCCGGCCUGAGAGGGCGACCGGCCACACUGGGACUGAGACACGGCCCAGACUCCUACGGGAGGCAGCAUGUGGGGAAUAUUGCACAAUGGGCGAAAGCCUGAUGCAGCGACGCCGCGUGAGGGAUGACGGCCUUCGGGUCUGUAAACCUCUUUCAGCAGGGAAGAAGCGAAAGUGACGGUACCUGCAGAAGAAGCGCCGGCUAACUACGUAGCCAGCAGCCGCGGUAAUACGUAGGGCGCGAGCGUUGUCCGGAAUUAUUGGGCGUAAAGAGCUCGUAGGCAGGCUUGUCACGUCGGGUGUGAAAGCCCGGGGCUUAACCCCGGGUCUGCAUUCGAUACGGGCUAGCUAGAGGUGUGGUAGGGGAGAUCGGAAUUCCUGGUGUAGCGGUGAAAUGCGCAGAUAUCAGGAGGAACACCGGUGGCCGAAGGCGGAUCUCUGGGCCAUUACUGACGCUGAGGAGCGAAAGCGUGGGGAGCGAACAGGAUUAGAUACCGCUGGUAGUCCACGCCGUAAACGGUGGGAACUAGGUGUUGGCGACAUUCCACGUCGUCGGUGCCGCAGCUAGACGCAUUAAGUUCCCCGCCUGGGGAGUACGGCCGCAAGGCUAAAACUCAAAGGAAUUGACGGGGGCCCGCGACAAGCAGCGGAGCAUGUGGCUUAAUUCGACGCAACGCGAAGAACCUUACCAAGGCUUGACAUACACCGGGAAAGCAUUAGAGAUAGUGCCCCCCUUGUGGUCGGUGUACAGGUGGUGCAUGGCUGUCGUCAGCUCGUGUCUGUGAGAUGUUGGGUUAAGUCCCGCAACGAGCGCAACCCUUGUUCUGUGUUGCCAGCAUGCCCUUCGGGGUUGAUGGGGACUCACAGGAGACCGCCGGGGUCAACUCGGAGGAAGGUGGGGACGACGUCAAGUCAUCAUGCCACCUUAUGUCUUGGGCUGCACACGUGCUACAAUGGCCGGUACAAUGAGCUGCGAUACCGCGAGGUGGAGCGGAAUCUCAAAAAGCCGGUCUCAGUUCGGAUUGGGGUCUGCAACUCGACCCCAUGAAGUCGGAGUUGCUAGUCAAUCGCAGAUCAGCAUUGCUGCGGUGAAUACGUUCCCGGGCCUUGUACACACCGCCCGUCACGUCACGAAGAGUCGGUAACACCCGAAGCCGGUGGCCCAACCCCUUGUGGGAGGGAGCUGUCGAAGGUGGGACUGGCGAUGUGGGACGAAGUCGUAACAAGGUAGCCGUACCGGAAGGUGCGGCUGGAUCACCUCCUUUCUAAG
RNAcentral lists this ribosomal RNA (1554 nucleotides) under Streptomyces qaidamensis. Its description in RNAcentral is "bacterial SSU rRNA". It matches the Rfam family "Bacterial small subunit ribosomal RNA". The record is from RNAcentral. Lineage: Bacteria; Bacillati; Actinomycetota; Actinomycetes; Kitasatosporales; Streptomycetaceae.